Cucumis sativus (cucumber) is the source of this 1064-nucleotide long non-coding RNA. RefSeq lists it as uncharacterized. The record is from RefSeq and is a predicted model, not a curated record. The transcript is spliced from 2 exons. NCBI's taxonomy places the organism in Eukaryota, Viridiplantae, Streptophyta, Magnoliopsida, Cucurbitales, Cucurbitaceae.
CCCUAAACUCAUCAAUCUUCCGUUUGUGAUGUGAAGUUUGGUCUUUAUCUUCUCCCUCCCGCAUGCUUGAGUGUAAGGGAAACUAUUUUAGUGAAAAAAAUUUGGAAAGGGUAUUUAUUUAAUACACUUUCUAAUUUCCUUUCUCUUUUCUCCUCUUUUUUCUUGAAAUUUCAACGUUGGUUUUGUUGUUGGAUUUGAAAUCUUGGUUUCGCCUGAAAUUGUUGCUUUCCUUCACGUCCGGUUGAAGAGAGUUGUUGAUUUUGAUUCUUUUAAGAGAAGGUGGUGAAAACCAUCUUCUUCUUCACGAGUACUUCUCCCCCUAUUCUACCUUCUCUCUCCAUUAUCUCUUUUAUUCUGUUCUCAAUAACACAUGGAAGAUAUACUAAGCUCACCGCGCUGCCGUUGAUCGAUGCUGCCACUUCUGCUGCUCGUCAUGCUGCUUCAGCGGUGUUCUUCCAUCACCGCCAACUAUCAUCCCUCUCAAGAAAAAGGAAAUAGAGUAUUGAGGGAAGAUCUUUCAAAUGUGCAAUGGAGGAUGAAGAUCAGAUUGCUUACAUCCACUCUUGAAAGAAGGUAGUGAGCUUUUUAUUCAACAUAUUCUUCAAGAAGAUGAUUCAAAAACAAAUUAACAGAUGAGUAUUUUUCAUGCUUGCUCUCAAUCUAUUUAUUCUAUGUUUCCUCCUUUUAAGCUGCAAGGAUUUAAAGUUGUUAUUUGGUUAUUUUGUUGAAACAAAAUAACUUGUUUUUUAAAUAAAAAUUCUUCCGCCCGAGUUGCCACUAAGGCCUUGCCUCCGGUCAGCUCAAAUGUUGCUUCUACUGCAGAAGCCGCAGUCUCCAUUGCUACGCUUGGCACCAAACUUGCCAUGGUGGCUUCAGAUUUGGAGGAGUCUCUCCCCCAAAGGCAAGGAUAUUAGAUCUGCCUCUAAAUUACUUAAAAAGACUUCUCUUUUAAGUUGUUUAGUUUGUGGUUGUUUUCUUUUUCUUUUAUAAAUUAAUUAUGUUUACAAAUGUUGCUUUCAACUUAAUUGGUUUUUCACAUUAUUAUCAUUGAGUUGUUGAACUGA